CAAAGGUUUGGUCCUGGCCUUGAGGUCAGUUAUUACUUACUAUACACAUGCAAGUAUCCGCCCCCCUGUGAAAACGCCCUUCAACCCCCCUUAGGGACAAGGAGCUGGUAUCAGGCACGAAAAUCUGCCCAAGACACCUAGCUAUGCCACACCCACAAGGGAAUUCAGCAGUGAUUAACAUUGAGCAUUAGCGCAAGCUUGACUCAGUUAAAGUAAUACAGAGCCGGCUAAUCUGGUGCCAGCCGCCGCGGUUACACCACGUGGCUCAAAUUGACCCCCUCCGGCGUAAAGCGUGAUUAAAGCCACCCCUGACUAGAGUUAAACUAAAACUGAGCUGUGACACGCCUGUUUAUUAAGAAACCCAAAAACGAAAGUUACUCUACCACAACCAACUUGAACUCACGACAGCUGGG
RNAcentral lists this ribosomal RNA (413 nucleotides) under Bufo bufo (common toad). RNAcentral describes it as "partial 12S ribosomal RNA". The record is from RNAcentral. Lineage: Eukaryota; Metazoa; Chordata; Amphibia; Anura; Bufonidae.